This 253-nucleotide ribosomal RNA is filed under the name uncultured bacterium. Its description in RNAcentral is "partial 16S ribosomal RNA". It matches the Rfam family "Bacterial small subunit ribosomal RNA", at positions 524 to 776 of the family's 1533-position model. The record is from RNAcentral.
UACGGGGGGAGCAAGCGUUGUUCGGAUUUACUGGGCGUAAAGGGCGUGUAGGCGGCGUGACAAGUCACUUGUGAAAUCUCCGGGCUUAACCCGGAACGGUCAAGUGAUACUGUCGUGCUAGAGUACAGAAGGGGCAACUGGAAUUCUCGGUGUAGCGGUGAAAUGCGUAGAUAUCGAGAGGAACACCUGCGGCGAAGGCGGGUUGCUGGGCUGAUACUGACGCUGAGGCGCGAAAGCCAGGGGAGCGAACGGG